CAACUCAUCAUCAACCUGACGAACAACAAUCCAGUGGAGGGUCUAGUUUUCGACGAUGUUGCAGCCUCCGUAUUAAAUGAGGAGAGCAGGCGGAAAAAUAAAGAAAACAGACAAGCAAGUUCGCAGCAAGCGGAGGCGCUAUCGGUGACGAGAGGGAGAUCAACAGAACGUGGCCCCAGUGGGAGUCAAAGUCAUGGUAGAUCAAAAUCCAGAAGUAAGAAGAAUGUUAAAUGCUACAACUGUGGCAAGAAAGGGCACGUCAAGAAAGAGUGUUGGAGUAACCAGAAGAGAAGAGAGGGCAAAGAACCUGAGUCAUCAAAUGCUCAGGGUUGUGUAGCAAGUACCUCAGAUGAUGGCGAAAUUCUUUACAGCGAGGCAACAACUGUUUCAGAAGGCAGAAAACGACUGUCUGAUGUCUGGCUUAUAGACUCAGGAGAUACCUGGCACAUGACCUAUCAGAGAGAAUGGUUCCACACAUAUGAACCUAUCUCAGGAGGAUCUGUGUAUAUGGGAGAUGAUCAUGCCUUGGAGAUCGCUGGUAUUGGUACUAUCAAAAUAAAAAUGUUUGAUGGUACAAUUCGCACAAUUGGGGAGGUACGACAUGUCAACGGCCUGAAGAAAAAUCUAUUGUCUUUGGGACAAAUAGAUAGUCAUGGGUACAAAACUCAUGUGGAGAAUGGAAUUAUGAAGAUCGUUAAAGGCGCGCUUGUAUUAAUGAAGGCAGAAAAAAUUGGUCCUAAUCUAUUCAUGCUUAAAGAAAGUUCGCAGCAAGCAAAAGCGCUAUCGGUGACGAGAGGGAGAUCAACGGAACGUGGCCCCAGUGGGAAUCAAAAUCAAGGUAGAUCAAAAUUCAGAAGUAAGAAGAAUGUUAAAUGCUACAAAUGUGGCAAGAAAGGGCACGUCAAGAAAGAAUGUUGGAGUAACCAGAAGAGAAAAGAGGGCAAAGAACCUGAGUCAUCAAAUGCUCAGGGUUGUGUAGCAAGUACCUCAGAUG
RNAcentral lists this long non-coding RNA (994 nucleotides) under Citrus sinensis (sweet orange). RNAcentral describes it as "long non-coding RNA (CSIN_LNC002941)". The record is from RNAcentral. Lineage: Eukaryota; Viridiplantae; Streptophyta; Magnoliopsida; Sapindales; Rutaceae.